Acinonyx jubatus (cheetah) is the source of this 9328-nucleotide long non-coding RNA. RefSeq lists it as uncharacterized. The record is from RefSeq and is a predicted model, not a curated record. The transcript is spliced from 3 exons. NCBI's taxonomy places the organism in Eukaryota, Metazoa, Chordata, Mammalia, Carnivora, Felidae.
AGCAAAGCACUUCUGUGGUGGACGGGGCCGAUGGGAGGGCUCUGCCGGGGGCCGCCGAGCAACUUGCCAGCGCGGGCCUUGCACUUCCGGUACCGACGUGGGGUGGGCGGGGCGUCCGGGCGUGACCCGGAUCUGCUGCCGUCCCUCAGGGUUCGCAGAGCUAAAGCAGAUGGGAUCUGAGAACGGUCGUUUUGGUGGAAGGUGUUUUCUUUUGGAAGGACUAUCAUGCAGAAGUGUUUAGAAACCUCAGGCAAUUUUAGGAACUGCACAGUAAGAAGUCAACGACGCAAGAAAGCCUCCAUUUUAACAUUUCAAGGUUAAAAUGGCAGGAAAUGAAGUGUUCGGUCUGCUACUGCUCUGGGUCUGAAAGGGAGAACAUUCUCUAAAACAGAGCUGGAGCUUUGCAGAAUGCAGGUGUGGAGACAGUGGGGAAACUGCUCAUUUUAGGUGACGAGGAACAAAACCCAAAACAGAUGCGGGAUGAGUCACACCUGUGGCCCCUCUGCCUGUUGGAGCAGACGCUGUGUCUCGGCCACAAUGUCACUCAGAUUCUGCGAGCCGCCGGUCAGCCGCCCCCGCGACUCCCCUCCCCCGCCUUCUGCUGCCUGGGUGCGGGGCUGGCAGGAUCCGCGUCCUGUCCUGCUUCGGUGAGGACUGAGAGCCGCCAGCUUGGCCUCAUCGUCCGCGGCGUUAGACGUCGGGGGUAAGUGCGUGUGCCGGAUGGUAUGCGUGCUCGAUCGCAUUUUCUUUUAAAUUUUUUGUUUUUUAUUUUAGAGAGCGUACACGCGAGCAGGGGAGAGGGAGAGAGAGAAUCCCAAGCAGGCUCCACACGCAGCUUGGAGCUUGACUUGGGGCUCGAUCCCAUGACCCUGGGACCAUGACCCGAGCUGAUAUCGGGAGCCCAAUGCUCUGCUGACUGAGCCGCCCUGGCGCCCCUGGUUGCACUUUCUGAAUCCCAAAUGGAGCUCUGCAGUCUGCAGGUGCUUUUUUUUUUCUGCAUUGGAUGGAAUGUUUGCAGUCAGGGCCGUCUGAGAAAGUUCUAGGUAGCCAGCCUACCAGCUGGUACCACCAGUGAGACCGGCUCGUUGACCUUGGUUUCCCUUCCAUCCUUGGUAAGUAGAGAGAACCCUUCAGAAUUCCCCCUUUGUCCCAUGUUAAAAAAAAAAUUUAAUGUUUAUUUAUUUUUGAGAGACAGACAGCACGAGUGGGGGAGGGGCAGAGAGAGAGGGAGACCCAGAAUCGGAAGCAGGCUCCAGACUCCGAGCUGUCAGCACAGAGCCCGAUGCAGGGCUCGAACCCACGAACCACGAGAUCAUGGCCUGAGUCGAAGUAGAUGCUUAACCGACUGAGCCACCCAGGUGUGUCCCACGUUUAACACAGUCGCCUCCUCUGUGCUCUGCUCAGGUCCAAGUGUUGGUGACAGAGCGGGGAGGGGAGCGGCACCGUUUCCGUGGAAAGUGACGUGUGUGUCUCCUGCGUGUGCGCUGAGACGGUAGGCAAAGCUCUCGGAGCUGAGAACCAGGCACACGGCGCCCCCAGCUCUCGCGCUGGGACUCCGCACGGCCUGUCGGAGACGCGGCAGGAAACGUGUUCGGGGGUCUCCAUUCUCCCGAGCACAUCUGGGAAGGUGCGCUCCGGGGCCACGAUCGCCAGCUUGUGGCCCUGGGACAGGCCUGCCUGCCAGGGGUGCUGACACCAGCCAGGGAGGCCUUGCUGUCCCCAGGGCCUGGCGCAGUCGCCUUACCAAGAGGGGAAAGAAAGCCCCCGGGGCCGUCCGGAUGUGGCUCCGUAAGUGGUGGUAAAUUUGCUGCCUUAUUGUUACCGUCUUGAGCCAUUGUUCUAAGUCACCCACUUUUGGACUAAUUCUGGGUUGAUAACGGACGGAUUAACCAUAAAUCCUGAACAGCGAUGCCCCCCUCCUCCCAAAAAUGUGCUGUUGGUGGGUCAAAAAUUUUGAGAACAAGUGGGGUCAGACCCAUGGGGAGAGAAGACGGGGGUGAGCUCGUCCCCCCGAUGCAGGCCGGGAAGCGAGGGGCAGACGGUGGGAAGGUGGGCGUUCCCGGCCCCUGUCCCUGUCCCCAGCUCUGGGCAUCGGCAGGGUGAGCCGCCUGCCCUACGGUCCGACCGUCCACAGGCCUGCGGUGUCCGGCUCGUGUGACGUGAGUCCCCGUGUGGGUGACGAUGUGGUGGAAAUGUGUCCCCUGGUGGGUGCGUGGGGGCGUCGGCGGCCGCGGGAGGCGCUAAGAGGUCGGAUCCCGAGUGUCGAGUGUCGCUGAGGCUUUAGCCCAGGCGAUUGCUGUCCGCCCACGGCAGGGCCCUGGCUCUGAGCUGGGCGGCGUUCGCAACGUGAGCUCCUCUGUUGUCUCUGUUGGGCUCUUUGCCGCAAGUGACAGAAACCCAACGUGUAGGGGCUUCUGCCGGGAAGCACGAGCGAUGGCUGACAUGUGGCGUGCCUCUGGGUGACAGGGACAAGUGUCACCCCCUGCCUCCCGUCCGCCCUUUCCGCAAAGGUCUCACUCUCUUGCAAGUAAGACGUCUCCCCACAGCGGGAACGUGGUGUCCCCGCACGUGCCCAGCUCUGGUCGCCAUGCUUCCCAGGGAGGGUUCCGUGUGCCUGCGCCCGGGGCGGGAGCUCUGAUGAGGGGGACGGGCUCCCCCAGGGCAGCUGGGCUGCGAGGGGCCGAGCACCUCCAAGGAGGGGGCGGCCCUGGUGCCCGGCCACCCCCAAGCCGAGCUGUCCGCCCGAGUCCCCACGUGCUCACGAGGCCCCGGGGGUCUGAACCCGGAGCAGCGCGUGGAAUAUUCAGCCACAGCGGAACUUCUGGAUGGACGGGCACAGAGGGGAGGGAAUAGUGGCCUCCGGUCCGUGCGGGGAGAGGAGGGUGGUCUGGCGUCUGUGUAGACAGCUCACUAUGGUCUCUCCAGGGAGGGCGGCUCCUGUAGGUUCCAGAAAGACCCAGAUCAGGAUUACGUGCGGACUCUGGCGGCCGUGGCUCCUGACCACACCUGGUGGCUGUGGGGCUCUGCCACGGCUCUUGGAAUCCGCGGGGCCCUCGGGAGCCGCCUCGACCUGCAGCCCCGCUUUGUGUCCGGGCCCUCGGCUGCCGUAGCGCAGCACCACGGGCUGAGGCUGACGUCCGAGGCCAGGGGCUGCCUGCUCGCCAUGUCUUCACACGAUGGAGCGGGGAGAAGGCUCUGGAACUGCCUUUCUACAAGGACACUGAUCCCAUCCCGGGCCCCACCCUCACGGCCUCCCCUGACCCCGGUCACCCCCAAAGGCCCUUCCUCCCAAAGCUGUUCCCCCGGGCCCCAGGGCGUCACCAUGUGAGGUGUAGGGGAAACACCAGCCCACGGCGCACCCACAGCAGACGCUGAAAAGCUUCCCCUUGGAAACUCGGGAUUUAAGGUCUUUCUGUUGGUGAGAACACGGUCUUGCCUCCGCCUCCAGCCUGCCCGCCAGGCAUCCCCCCGGCGCGAACGACCUUCCCCGAGCCAGAGAGCGCCCACCUGGCCGCGGGGAGGACGGCUCAUGCUCUUAAUUAGAAACCCAGCAGGCCCUUUGCCUUGACAAGCAGCUUGUCCACGCGCACUCGGUCCAGCAGCCCUCAAUCCUGACUGCACUGGGGCGAAAAUCAGCCUGUGCACGUGCACACGGCUGCACCCAGCCCUGGACAAAGAUGCUGGAAACUUCCCAGCUCUCUGUCCUCCCCGUCUGGCUGGGCCCCGAGGAGGGAAGGGCGGCCCGCGGGAGGACAGAGGAGGAGCUGGUUUUCUGCCCUAGGAAGUUACUUUUCACCGCAUCCUCUUGAAGACUGCGUGUGGGGCCAGGGCGCCGGAGGUGAGCUAGGCAGAGGUGGGGCUGGGCCUGUGCCGGCAGCGACCGCGCCCAGGGCGUCCGUCUUCUUCUGGAGUGAAGGGAGCUUAGCUUCUCUGAGCAAAGAAGCCUCCGCCAAGACCCCUCUCUUCUCCUUCCUGUCGUUAUUGUGUCUUUUUCCUGUUAAAAGUGCUUGUGUUUACCUUACACAAACUGUUCUCCAAAAUCAGCUGUUCUGAAACCUACAUAGAAUCUAGACCGAGCGAUACAGUGACCCCGGAAAGGACAAAUCGAGGAGAUCGAUGUGAUUUGUGUCCUCGCCCGUGUGUUUCCCGGCUGCUCCCUGGUCACUUAAUGCUGGUGGCUCCCCGGGGACGCUGGCUGCGCUGACAGUAUUGAUCGCCCUGGCAGGAUGAGGGGCGGGGGUCCCCGAGGACGCAGGGCCACCCCGGCACAGCCAGGUACAGAGGCACGCCCUCCGCGGGCCUUUGCUGCUUCCCGGGGCCACACGUCUUGGCAUCGGUGCUGGUGGCGCUGAGAUGCCCAGGGUCCCCCCGUGCCCACAGCCCCAAGUCCCAGGAGGGAUGUGCCUCCUGCACUCCCACACACACUUCCUGGGGGACGGGAGAAGGGAGCCCUGCCUGGACCAUCGGGGACCCUUCUAUGAGGCCGUGGGUCCCAGUUCUGCUACUGCAUAGCUGUGUGGCCUGGGGAAGGUCACUCAGAUUCUCUGUGCCUCAGAUUUCUUCCCUGGAGAGGGAGCGGGGCUGCGCGGACUGCCCGCUGAAGCACGCAGGACGUGGAAAGCAUGACCGCUUGUUUUGUGGUAUUGAAAACACCUGCUUUCAUCUGAGCGCGCGCGUCACUGAGCGGGUGUGCUGAGUUCCUGGCUGAUCAGGAAAACUUCACGUGCGGGAAGCCCAGCAGGGAGCCCUGUUGGCAGUCGGGUCCUCGUGGCCGUGAUGAGGCAGGGAUCUCCACGAGAGCAUCCCGGGUGGGGGCGGGCCCUAAACCCAGGACUGGCGACCCCGUAUGACGAGGAGAGAGCCCGGAGGGAGGCCGUGGGCAUAGCCCCCGGAAGCUGGAAGAGGAAAGGGCUGGGGGCUCCCCCGGAGUCUCCGGGAGAAACCGACCUGCAGACCCCACGCCGUGGCCGCGGGGACAGGCUUCUGUCCUUCUCAGGCACCCAGUCUGGUGGUUCCCGGGAAGUCGGCAGAGGCUGGUUCCCCAUUUUCCCUCGAGGCUGGAGUGUCAGCCGGAUCACCGGCAGGUAGGGGCGGGAGCUCGGGCCGCGUCUCCCGGGCAGUGGUGGGGAGGUGGUGGGGGACCAGGCUGGAAGCAGGUGGCCGAGGCGGGACCCCGCACCCGCGGCAGGGUUAGGGGCAGCUCCAGCAGGAAUGCUCUGAGGCUGAGCCUGCGUGCCCCCUGCCGUUUCCAGGUGUCUUGGGGUCCCGUGGAUGGUGCCCUCAUCUCCGGCCCUUGGACCAGACCCCUCUCCUUGCUGCUCUGCCCUGGGGCUUCUCUCUGGUCGUAGACCUGGUCCUGCCCUUUCUGAAGGGGCCUUAGUCGAAGGCCCCUGAUGGUGCGGCAGAGUCCCCAGUCCGGUGUGGGCUGUCAGUCCUCCGCGGGGCUGCCCCUGACCCCCGCCCCCAGGUGCUCCUGUGUCGCUGCCUCAGCGGGGUCGGCAGUCUCCCCGGGUGCGUCCCUAGCGGGGAGUCCUGUCCUGCGCCCGGUGCUUCCCGGGAUGGCAGUUUGAGCGUCUGCAGUCCCGUCUAUAGGACGGACAGACCUCAGGGAGAAGAGCCCAGGGAGGGCUUCUUGGGAUGACGGUGCCCAGUCCUGCAGAACAUUCCCCUCCUGGGCAAGGUGACAUCCAAGUGGCCCUGUGACCCACAUACCCGGGAAAGAGUCCACUUCCUAGAGGGGUUGGCACAGGGGGAGCUGACGUGUAUCUGUGCCUCCUUCCUGCUGGGAACUUAGGUGCAGGCGCGAUCCUGUUCUAGCGUCGCCACCAAGCGGCUCCAUGUCUGUCAUGUGACACGCUGGCCUGAGGUUCAGAAGGUCACCCGGCCGCCGGGAAGCUGGGCAGUUGACCCUGCCGCGGCCGCGUCUUGGCCUGGGUGGGCUUUGGGGAUGUCGGCCUGCCUGUUGCCAGCCUGGCUCGUGCAGGGUCAGCGUGGGCCCUUAGCGGGGGACAGACCCUCCUUCCGCAGGACGGCCGUGGACGUGGAGGAGCCAUGCUCGCCACCCACGAUCCCCCAGGGGGAGGAAGACCCUCUUUCCUGGGCUGGUCAGGACCCGGAAGGGGAGGGGCAGCCCCCCACCCCCACCCCCAUCCGGGCCCGUGGCCGUGAGCUUGUGGGUCACCUGGCAACUUGCCCCUGCACCAACGACCAGGCCGGGGCCUGGCUCUGCCCUGUGCCACCCACUCUGGUGACAGGCCACCUUUGUUGCCCAAGGUGCCUCCGUGCUCCGCCUACCCCCGCCCCCUGCCUGCGUAACCCCCUCCUGCUGUCCCCGUGACCGUGCCUGUCCCUUCCCGUCCAGCGCCGCCCAGGACAGUCUGAUGGGAGCCAUACGGAAAGUUAGAAGUGAGUGUGAUCUUGACUCGAAUGAUGUCAUCUUUCGUCCGUGGUCUCCAACCUGCUUUCGUUUGCACGUGACCUGCAUGAAGCCUGUUAACCAGAGGGUCUCUGUUUAACCGAGUGUUUGCUAAAGUCUUCAGGUGCUCGGCGGUGGCCCACGGUGACGGCUGGCUCAGCCCAGACCCUGAGGCCGUAGUCCCCAGGCCCGGCCGGAGCUGAGCGGGGCCAGCGGGCUUGGGCCGCUCUUGGCGCCAUCUGUGGGUACUUCCGUGUCACCUGGGGGCGACAGCCUCUGCCGCCGGGGUUGCCGUGGCGGUGCGGUGUGGUCAGUAGCCCGGCGCUCCGCGGGGUGCCCGCCCCUCCCGGGCUGCUGGGCCACGGCUGCUGGCGGAAUGCAGGGCCCUCUCCUCCGGGGGGUGGCUAGAGAACGGGGGUGCGGCCCGUCCACACUGGCAGGGCCUGGUCCUCAAGGGCCUCCCUGGGCGGCGUCUGGGAGGGGCGCCCUCCCCGGCUGGCCUCCCAGGGGGCGAGCUGGGCGCAGUCCGGGCCGCUGAGGGAGGGCCGGCGGGGCUCCGCACAGAGGUGGGUGUGAGUGAGCCAUGUGCACCUGUGUGGGCGGGUGUGCACCUGUGACCGUCACGGAACGUGAGCUUGUGUCGAGUGUCGCGCACCCCCUGCCCGGCCUGGGGAGGCGCCAGGACCCUGCUGCCCGGCAGGCUUCCCCGGGCCUUCACCAUUCCCUGGGCACCUCCCCCUGCCCCGGGAGGACCAGCUUGUCUGUGCGUCCUGAGUGCGAACCCGACCUGGAGGGACCUGCUUGCCUUCUGCAGCGCGGAGUCCUCGCUCCAGCCAGCUGUGGUGGGAGCCGCCCUAGAACCACUGGUUCGGAAAAAGACCGCAGAUACGCUCAUUGCGUGGAAAACUUAAGUUCAGAGACCUGGAAGAGAAAACACGAAUGGCCUUGUGUCCACUCUACCCCUAACUACCACUGCCAUCUGGUGGUUUCCGUCUUUUAACAUGUACGUCAUUUAUACAAACAUCUCUUAGUUUGUGUUUUGCCGGGUCAUUAAAACUUUAACGAUAUGAUCUUCGUAUUGUGUAAACCUGUCUUGGGUACGUGUUAUAACCCUAUAUAAUUGAUGAGACGGUCCCCUGUUUUUUAGUAUCUUCUUCCUAUAAGUAACCUAAUCAUUGACUCCCUGCCUGUUCCUUCUCUAGAAAUUCUGCGGCUCCCUCCCUGCUCUCAGGGCUUCAUUGACGGCUUCCCACUGGGGUUACCUGCCACCAACCACGCCUCGCUGCUUGCUGAGCGGGUUCUCCGGGGGUGCGAUCUCUCCCAGACCACGUCCCUGUGUUCCUGCGUCCCAGAGCCUGGAGCCCUGAUCCAGAGGGGUGGACAGUGAGCACAGAGCCUGGAUCAAAGGUUGAGGAAGGGGAGGCGUGCUGGGAGGAGGGGGGAGGGGUGGGAAGGUCCCCUUCUCCGGGCGCCCACAGCGUAGGCCUGUGGAAAGAGUGGGGCUUGGGUCGCCAUAACGGAUACGACAGACUUUGACAACAGAGACUCAUGACUCACCCUCCUGCGGGCUGGGAGCGAGAAGUCUGAGGUCAAGGAGCCGAUGGGCUGGUAUCUCCUGGGGACUCUCUCCUUGGCUGUGUCUUCGCGUGGCCUUUCCUCUGCAUGUAUCCCUGGUGCCCCUUCUUGUAAGGACACCAGUCCUGGUGCACAGGGCUCACCCUUGUGAGCUCAUUUAACCCCAGUUACUUUCUUAAGGAGCAUCUUCGAACACAGCCCCGUUGGGGAUUAGGAGUUUAACCUGUGGAUUUGGGGGCACAUAAUUCAGUCUGAUGCUGAGUGAACAGCUUGCCCGUGUGGGAAGCAGGAGGUGCAAAGGCCCCGUGGCAGGACACGCAGGCCUCCCUUGGCUAUGAGCCAGGGUGGCUGGAGCACAGGGGAGAGGCGGUGUGGGGGUAGUCAGGACCGGCCUCACUGAGCUUCGGACCCUGGUUCAGGGAUGUGGGGCAGCCUCGUUUGGCGGUCAGAACCUGUGGAGGGCUGGGGGCGGAGGGAGGCAUAGUCUGUCUGCCUCGUGGGGACAAAAGCGUGGGGAGAGUGGAGAACGGAAGGCUGAUGGUGUUGUGACAAGCCCCUGCAAUCCCCUAAGAAGAACGGAAGCUGAGGCUCAGAGAAUCCCAGUCGUUUAACCGAGGCCACACGGUUCUCGGUGUGCAGACCCCACACCCUCCGUCCCUUUGUUGUCAGACUGCAGAGUGUGACAUUCCUUUUGAAGCCGUCUUGGGGGCAUGUGCCUCAUGGCUGGUGCUGUUCUAGAACACGGCUCAGCGGUCUGCAGCCCGUGGGCCACACGUGGGCCGUAGCCUGUUCCUAAGUGUCCCGCAAGCUUCAAAUGGCUUUUAUGGCCUUGAGUUGUGACAACAGGACAAACCAAGCAGAAUUUCCGCCAGGCCUGGCGCGUGGCCGCGAAGCCUGGUGCGUUUGCUCUCCGGCCCUUCCUGGAAACGCGGGCCCGUGACUCUUCUGGAACGUUGGCGAGCGGAGCCUGGCGUCACCCUCGCGGUGGGCACCACGGAAGGCUGUGUGCGGGGAGGUGACCCGACAGGAUGUCGUGGAAGUGGCCCCGUGAAGACCUGGAAGGACUUAGCAGGGUGACCCGCCCCCAGGGUGUAGCGGGGGUCUCGUGGAGUCCUUUCGGUGACAGGCGCUCCUGCCUCUGGGCUGCUGUCCCGCACGUGCUAGUUAAUGGCUCGCUGAGUUUGCGUCAUCAGGUCGGUCCCCUCUGUGACCCUUUGACUCGAAGAGUACUCGUGUACGGCACGCAGAAGACGAGCCGAGAUGCCACGUUUGAGAAAACCUGGGAGUCUGGUGGCUGUUCCCUUCUCCGUCCGGGAGGAGAGAGGGGAGGAGGGCAGG